GAUGAACGCUGGCGGCGUGCCUAAUACAUGCAAGUAGAACGCUGAAGGAGGAGCUUGCUCUUCUGGAUGAGUUGCGAACGGGUGAGUAACGCGUAGGUAACCUGCCUGGUAGCGGGGGAUAACUAUUGGAAACGAUAGCUAAUACCGCAUGACAACAGUUAUUGCAUGAUAACUGUUUAAAAGGGGCAACUGCUCCACUACCAGAUGGACCUGCGUUGUAUUAGGUAGUUGGGGAGGUAACGGCUCACCAAGGCGACGAUGCAUACGCGACCGGAGAGGGGGGUCAGCCACACUGGGACGGAGACACGGCCCAGACGCCUACAGGAGGCAGCAGUAGGGAAUCUUCGGGAAGGGGCGGAAGACUGACCGAGAAACGCCGCGGGAGGGAAGAAGGGUGUCGGGUCGGAAAGGUCUGUUGUAAGGGAAGAAAGAGUGUGAGAGUGGAAAGUUCACGCUGUGACGGUAUCUUACCAGAAAGGGACGGCUAACUACGUG
RNAcentral lists this ribosomal RNA (495 nucleotides) under uncultured bacterium. RNAcentral's name for it is "partial 16S ribosomal RNA". It matches the Rfam family "Bacterial small subunit ribosomal RNA", at positions 28 to 507 of the family's 1533-position model. The record is from RNAcentral.